CAGUAGCCAUCGGUAAAACAGAGGGUGCGAGCGUUAAUCGGAUUUACUGGGCGUAAAGCGUGCGUAGGCGGCUUUUUAAGUCGGAUGUGAAAUCCCUGAGCUUAACUUAGGAAUUGCAUUCGAUACUGGGAAGCUAGAGUAUGGGAGAGGAUGGUAGAAUUCCAGGUGUAGCGGUGAAAUGCGUAGAGAUCUGGAGGAAUACCGAUGGCGAAGGCAGCCAUCUGGCCUAAUACUGACGCUGAGGUACGAAAGCAUGGGGAGCAAACAGGAUUAGAUACCCGUGUAGUCCCUGUCUCUUAUA
This 301-nucleotide ribosomal RNA is filed under the name uncultured bacterium. Its description in RNAcentral is "partial 16S ribosomal RNA". It matches the Rfam family "Bacterial small subunit ribosomal RNA", at positions 509 to 808 of the family's 1533-position model. The record is from RNAcentral.